This 491-nucleotide ribosomal RNA is filed under the name uncultured bacterium. RNAcentral's name for it is "partial 16S ribosomal RNA". It matches the Rfam family "Bacterial small subunit ribosomal RNA", at positions 29 to 507 of the family's 1533-position model. The record is from RNAcentral.
GUGAACGCUGGCGGUAGGCCUAACACAUGCAAGUCGCACGGCAGCACAGUAAGAGCUUGCUCUUCCGGGUGGCGAGUGGCGGACGGGUGGGGAAUACAUCGGAAUCUACUUUUUCGUGGGGGAUAACGUAGGGAAACUUACGCUAAUACCGCAUACGACCUACGGGUGAAAGCAGGGGAUCUUCGGACCUUGCGCGAUUGAAUGAGCCGAUGUCGGAUUAGCUAGUUGGCGGGGUAAAGGCCCACCAAGGCGACGAUCCGUAGCUGGUCUGAGAGGAUGAUCAGCCACACUGGAACUGAGACACGGUCCAGACUCCUACGGGAGGCAGCAGUGGGGAAUAUUGGACAAUGGGCGCAAGCCUGAUCCAGCCAUACCGCGUGGGUGAAGAAGGCCUUCGGGUUGUAAAGCCCUUUUGUUGGGAAAGAAAAGCAGCAGGUUAAUACCCCGCUGUUCUGACGGUACCCAAAGAAUAAGCACCGGCUAACUUCGUG